RNAcentral lists this transfer RNA (74 nucleotides) under Blautia obeum. RNAcentral's name for it is "tRNA-Gln". It matches the Rfam family "tRNA". From Rfam's summary of the family: Transfer RNA (tRNA) molecules are approximately 80 nucleotides in length. Their secondary structure includes four short double-helical elements and three loops (D, anti-codon, and T loops). The record is from RNAcentral. Lineage: Bacteria; Bacillati; Bacillota; Clostridia; Lachnospirales; Lachnospiraceae.
UGGGCAUUCGCCAAGCGGUAAGGCACAGCACUUUGACUGCUGCAUUUUCGUUGGUUCGAAUCCAACAUGCCCAG